AGAGCGGGAGCCCGGAGAUGGGCACUGAGACAAGGGCCCAGGCCCUACGGGGCGCAGCAGUCGCGAAAACUCCGCAAUGCGCGAAAGCGUGACGGGGCUACCCCGAGUGCCGUCCGCUGAGGAUGGCUUUUCCCCGGUGUAAUGAGCCGGGGGAAUAAGGAGAGGGCAAGACUGGUGUCAGCCGCCGCGGUAAUACCAGCUCUCCGAGUGGUAGGGACGAUUAUUGGGCUUAAAGCGUCCGUAGCCGGCUUAGCAAGUCUCCUGUUAAAUUCAGCGACUCAAUCGUUGAGCCGCGGGGGAUACUACUAGGCUAGGAGGCGGGAGAGGUCGACGGUAUUCUCGGGGGAGGGGUGAAAUCCUAUAAUCCCGGGAGGACCACCAGUGGCGAAGGCUGUCGGCU
RNAcentral lists this ribosomal RNA (400 nucleotides) under uncultured archaeon. Its description in RNAcentral is "bacterial SSU rRNA". It matches the Rfam family "Archaeal small subunit ribosomal RNA", at positions 279 to 681 of the family's 1478-position model. The record is from RNAcentral.